AAAGAAUAUUGCUGAAAACAAGAAGAUACUGGCAGGUUUAGGACUUGACAAAUUUAAGGGUCAGUUUGUUGCAAAACCUGUGAUAAAGAAGCCAGCACUAACUACUGGAGUGAAGCGAAAGCGACAGGAGGCAAAGGUCAAAGAUUUGGCAACUGAUGACGAACCCAUUAGUACUGAGCAUCAAGAUUUACAAUAUCGAAUUAGACUUCGGAGAUCAUCACGCCGGCUCAAAGGACAGGAACCCAAUGAGUAUCAAGAACAGAAUUAUAACAACUUUGAUGAUGGUGAUGAGGAUGAGGACUACAAGAGGCCCUUGAGAGCACCAAAAAACAGGGAAAAUGUUUUUGGAGAAAUACCAGGUACAU
Orbicella faveolata is the source of this 365-nucleotide long non-coding RNA. Lineage: Eukaryota; Metazoa; Cnidaria; Anthozoa; Scleractinia; Merulinidae. The record is from RefSeq and is a predicted model, not a curated record.